AUGCAAACCGGGGCGUCACGCCGUGCUCCAAAAAGAAAGAGGCGGGGGUCAACUAUACAAGAAGAAGAAGAGUUUGUUGAGGAUGAGUCAGAAGAAGAUGAGGAAAUGGAAGCAGCGAUAGAUGUUGACGAUGAUGGGGACACAAACGCGGAUGAAUCAGAGGAGGAAGACAAGGAUGAGGAUGACAAUGAAGAAGAUGCAGAGGAGGAGGAGGAAGAGGAGGAGGAGGAGGAGGAGGAGGACAAACAAGAAGAGGACAAAGGAGAGGAGGAGGAGGAAGAAGAAGAUAGUGAGGCAGAGGAGGAGGAAGAAGAAGGUGAGGCCGAAGAGGGGGACGGGGACAAAGGUGCAACAGUUGAUGGCAGUGAGAGGGGAGAAGACAAAGGCGCAGCAGCUGAUGUCAGUGAGAGGGAAGAAGAGGACGAUGAAGAAGACGAGGACGGUUAUGGUGAUGAUGUUGGGGGAUCCAAUGGAGGCAGCGGUAGCAGCGAUGAUGAUGAUGAUGAUGACAACGCCCCUGGUUCUGGUGGUACAGGCGGCAACACAUCCAGGAGGACUAGCACUUCUGCCACCCCUGCCAGCAGCAACAAUUCAUUGAGUAGCAGGAGCACACUACAGAUGUUAAUCAACAAAACUUGCUGGAAAGACAAGGAUUUGCCUAAGUCAAAGAAAAAUGACGAAGUAGAGUCUCAGGGCAGCAUUGAUAUGUUCAAGCUCUGCAACUUGAAGCCAGCUUUGCCAACCACCUUUCCCGUGCCAGAUUUUAGCGACCAAGAUAUGUGUGAGAAGAUCAACUUUGCCAUUGACAAGAGCCUGUUCUUAUCAAGUGUUGCUGAAAAGAAUCAAAUUGACAUGGAGGAAGCAGAAAAGGGUCUUGACUGGGUUCAUUCAAAGGAAAAAUACAAGGAAUAUCUGAAGCAACUUACAGACCUAAGCUCCGGCAAGAGCAAGGCAGCAUGCAUGGCAAACCCUCACGUGGUCCAGAAGCGUAAAUCAGUUUCAAUGAAGAAGAAUCUGCAGUUGCCUGAAACCAAGGAGAAGAUAGUGAGUGCAGAUGCUGAAGUAAAUAUGGUCAAGGAAGCUGUGCUUCAAACUGAUAUGCCAACUGUAGUGAGCAGAGAGCCAACCACCAUCACAGGAGUUCAACAGAUCAAGGGGAAGACUCCCCUUUCAAUAGUCCCACCAAAACCACCUAAGCAGCAAAAGAUUGUCAAGUUUGCCAGGGGCACAAAGGUGGAACAGGCCACAAAAGGUUUGGGGUUCAGAGACGAGAGAGAACUGUGA
Molecule: ribosomal RNA, 1284 nt
Filed under: Triticum aestivum (bread wheat)
Lineage: Eukaryota; Viridiplantae; Streptophyta; Magnoliopsida; Poales; Poaceae
Description: partial small subunit ribosomal RNA
Source: RNAcentral